This 361-nucleotide unclassified non-coding RNA is filed under the name Hevea brasiliensis (rubber tree). Lineage: Eukaryota; Viridiplantae; Streptophyta; Magnoliopsida; Malpighiales; Euphorbiaceae. The record is from RNAcentral.
CCUCCAACUGUUCCUUAACUUUUUGAGAAAUCUUUAAAAUGUAAAAUGGCAUUCUAUUUUGCCUUUUUCCCUCUCCAUCUGAUGGUCACAAGAACUUGAAACCAUAAGUUGAAAUUGGUCACUGUGCAUGGAUAUUAGAGGAAAAGUCGUCACUCCCCCUCAUUGUGAUUUAGCAAUGCGGUGUUGUCUCGCGCUUUCUUUGUCAUCCUUUUCACUGCUUCAGCCUUAAAUUUUCUUUUCUUCUUAGCCCUCCUCCUCUUCCUCUCUGCCUGAGUAACUUCUGCUUCUUCUUUAAUGUCCCCUUUGCCAGAGAAGACUUCCUCGGGAGCCAGCAUGGCUGCAUCUGAAACUGCUGUCGGUG